Transfer RNA from Felis catus (domestic cat), 85 nucleotides. It matches the Rfam family "tRNA". From Rfam's summary of the family: Transfer RNA (tRNA) molecules are approximately 80 nucleotides in length. NCBI's taxonomy places the organism in Eukaryota, Metazoa, Chordata, Mammalia, Carnivora, Felidae. The record is from Rfam.
ACCUGGGUGGCUCAGUCGGUUAAGCAUCCGACUUUGGCUCGGGUCAUGAUCUCACGGCCCAUGGGUUCGAGCCCCGUGUCAGGUU